This 466-nucleotide ribosomal RNA is filed under the name uncultured bacterium. Its description in RNAcentral is "partial 16S ribosomal RNA". It matches the Rfam family "Bacterial small subunit ribosomal RNA", at positions 28 to 507 of the family's 1533-position model. The record is from RNAcentral.
GAUGAACGCUGGCGGCGUGCUUAACACAUGCAAGUCGAACGAUGAAGCCCAGCUUGCUGGGUGGAUUAGUGGCGAACGGGUGAGUAACACGUGAGUAACCUGCCCUUAACUCUGGGAUAAGCCUGGGAAACUGGGUCUAAUACCGGAUAGGAGCGUCCACCGCAUGGUGGGUGUUGGAAAGAUUUAUCGGUUUUGGAUGGACUCGCGGCCUAUCAGCUUGUUGGUGAGGUAAUGGCUCACCAAGGCGACGACGGGUAGCCGGCCUGAGAGGGUGACCGGCCACACUGGGACUGAGACACGGCCCAGACUCCUACGGGAGGCAGCAGUGGGGCAUAUUGCACAAUGGGCGCAAGCCUGAUGCAGCGACGCCGCGUGAGGGAUGACGGCCUUCGGGUUGUAAACCUCUUUCAGUAGGGAAGAAGCGAAAGUGACGGUACCUGCAGAAGAAGCACCGGCUAACUACGUG